This 584-nucleotide ribosomal RNA is filed under the name uncultured Wilcoxina. RNAcentral's name for it is "eukaryotic LSU rRNA". The stretch from base 206 to 359 matches the Rfam family "5.8S ribosomal RNA". The record is from RNAcentral. Lineage: Eukaryota; Fungi; Ascomycota; Pezizomycetes; Pezizales; Pyronemataceae.
UGCGGAGGAUCAUUAAAAGAAAUUGGUUAUACAUUUCAUGUAUCAACUGCUUUGAACCCAUUCUGUGUACCUUGCCUGUUGCUUCCAUGGAGCCUGACUUUGGUCACUCUUGUGAUGUAAAUCCCAAGGGAGUCCCCAUGGAAGGUCAUCAAUAAAACUCAUGUAUCCAAUGUCUUCUGUCUGAACUGUUUAUAACAAUUGUUAAAACUUUCAACAACGGAUCUCUUGGUUCUCGCAUCGAUGAAGAACGCAGCGAAAUGCGAUAAGUAGUGUGAAUUGCAGAAUUCAGUGAAUCAUCGAAUCUUUGAACGCACAUUGCGCCUCCCGGUAUUCCGGGAGGCAUGCCUGUUCGAGCAUCAUUAAAUACCUCUCAAGCACCAUUGCUUGGUCAUGGAAGAUGAGUAUGCUUGCAUUCUCCCUUCUGAAAUUCAAAGGCGGAUGAUCUCAUAUUCCCUGGCGUAGUAAGUGUUUAUCUUUCGCUUGGAGUGUCUGACAGUCUUGCCAUCGACCCCCAUUAUUUCAAGGUUGACCUCGGAUCAGGUAGGGAUACCCGCUGAACUUAAGCAUAUCAAUAAGCCGGAGGA